Molecule: long non-coding RNA, 14514 nt
Organism: Alligator mississippiensis (American alligator)
Lineage: Eukaryota; Metazoa; Chordata; Crocodylia; Alligatoridae
Exons: 3
Source: RefSeq, a predicted model, not a curated record
GGGAAGGAGUGCAUAUAAGAGGUCCAUGGAGAGGCUUGGUGAGCGGUCUAAGGCUGUAGGAGAAGUACCAAGGACCCUGGAGAAGCGGCAGCAACCCCAGAAGGACUGUAGCCCACAGUGGGGAGCAAAAAGACAAAUCCCCUGAGUGAAUGUAGCUGCUUGAUUAUAUUCUGUGAUGCUUCCAUCUUGACACAAAUGAAUGAACUUUGUAUGCCCUGGGUAUGAAAGAGAUAUGGGCAAGGGGUGAGUGAAGAGUGAACGGGAGUUUGCAUGAGAAAAGGAGAGAGGCUGUAAUUGUUUUUGUAAGCAAUAAGGUGCCAGAGGAGUAAACCACCAGCCAGCAACUAACUAACAAACAGCUGAAGAAUCCCUUUGAAACUUGAGGGCACAAAGAUAACAAAAGCAAAAAUGCUGCCAUGUGGGCAACAAGAAAACUUCAAGGCUGAGACCCAUCUUUUACAACUGUAGUGACCUCGAUGUGAGAUAAGGAAAAGACGGAUGCGGAGCAGCUGCUAGAAACACAAACUAAACAUGGAAAAACACCAAGAAGUAAAACAGAGACUGAAAACUCUAUAUAAGGAAAACACAAAUGAUGCCAAGUUGGGUGAGAAAUCUUCUGUCUUCCUUCCAGAGCACAAGCGCGCCUGCUUCUCACCUCACUCCAGCUCACCACCAUCAUCAGCUACAACAUCUCAGCUACUCAGUGAACACUGGGUCAGCCACCCCAUGUUAACAGUGAGCAACUGUUGCUGGAGGAUCUCAACCAACUCAGGAUAUUAUAGACAUAUGCUGCCAUGGGAGGACACACUGAAGUAUAGAGGUGCCCAGGAUGGCUCACAGGUUGUAAAGUGAACAAUAUUGGAAGUCCAGAAAGAAGGUGCUCUGACCUAAUGGAAGCACAAGAAGAAUGGCAAGAGACCAAUGUGGCUGCAGAAGGAGCUUCUCGGAUGCCUUAAAUCCAAAAGGAAAAUAUACAGACAAUAGAAAGAUGGGCAGGUCACCAAGGAAUCUACCAGCAAAUAGUAAGGACUUGCAGAGACAAAAUCAAGGCAAAAAUAAAAUAUGAGCUUCAUUUGCCAAGGGAGGUUAAAAACAAGAAAAGAUUCUGUAAAUAUUUUGACUGAAAAAAAAUAAACUAAGGACGCUGUGGGUACACUGUUAAAUAACCAGGGUGAAUUCUUAACAGAAGAUACAAAGAAGACGCAGCAUCUCAACAGCUACAUUGGCUCAGUCUUCACAGAAAUAAUUAGGCUGCAACCAGAGAGUUUAUAAGGAUUAUUUGGACAAGGAAAGAGACAAACUGAGGGAUGAGAUAACAAAAAGGAACAGUCAGAGAGCUUUUGAUGGGUCUAAAUGAAUUCAAGUCAGCAGGACCUGACAAACUGCAUUCCAGGGUACUGAAGGAACUGGCAGGGGAGAUCUCAGAGCCUUUGGCAAUAAUAUUUAGAAAGUCAUUGUAGAUGUGGGAGGUACCAGAGGAGUGAAAAGGGCUAACAUAAUGCCCCUCUUUGAAAAAAGUAAAAAGGAAGACGUGGGGAACUAUAGGCUUGUUAGCCUCACCUUGAUACCUAGGAAGUUACUGGAGCAUAUCCUAAGAAAGUCCAUUUGCCAGUAUCUGCAGAAAUAAUGACUGAUCACAAACAGCCAGCAUGGAUUUACUAUCAACAUUUUUUGCCAAACAAACUUGAUCUCCUUCUUGGAGGAAAUAGCUAGUUGGGUGGGUGAAGGUAACACAGUGGAUAUAGUGCAUCUGGACUUCAAUAAGGCUUCUGACAAAGUCCCCUGUGAUUUUUCUCAUAAACAAAUUGGAGAAAUGCCAGCUAGACAAAAUGAUGACAAAGAGGAUAGAAACUGGCUCAAUAGUCAUAAACAAAAGGUAAUUAUAAAUGGAUUUGUGUCAGAAUGGCAGGAGGUUUUGAGUGGAGUCCUACAGAGGCCUGUAAUGGACUUGGUGCUGUUCAAUGUGCUUAUUAAUUACUUGGAUGCUCAAACAGAAAGCUUCUUAAGAAAAUGUGCAGGCAACAUGACAUUGGGGAGAAUUACAAAUACACUGGAGGACAGGAGCUCAAUUCAAAAGUAUCUUGACAGAUUGGAAAGCUGGGCUAGAGGCAACAAGAUGAAGCUCAGUGCUGACAAAUGCAAGGUGCUACACCUCAGAAAGAAUAAUCAAAAACACAAAUUCAAAAUGGGUGACACCUGGCUAGACAGCACUAUGUUGAAGAAUAUGGAGUCUUGGUGGAUCAUAGACACAAUCUAAUUCCACACAAAAAGCAAAUGCAGCUUUGGUCUACAUCACUACUAUCAUUAGAUGUGGGAGGCGAUAAUGCCUUGCUACUUGGUUCUGUUUAGGCAUAAUUUAAAGUACUGUGUGAAGUUUUAGGCUCCGCAUUUUAAAAAAAGGAUGUGGAGAAGAUACAGACAGUCCAGAGGCAAGCAACAAAAAAAAUAAAGCACUUGGAAGAAAAUUCAUACAAGGAAAUGUUGAAAGAAAUAGACAAGUUCAGCUUACAGAAAAGGUGCUUAAGAGGGGACAUAAUAGUAGCCUUCAAAUAUUUGAAGCACUGCUAUAGAGGAGAAAGGAAAAAAAAAAUUCUCUCUUGCUGCAGAUAGCAGUACAGACCAAUGGAUUGAACUUGUAGUAAAAUAGGGAAAACCUCAAUUUUAGAACAGUGAAGCAGCAGAAUAGACUGUUUAGGGAAGUUGUGGAAUCUCCAUCAUUGGAGGUGUUCAAGAAAAUGCUGGAUAAGUAUUGGUCAGGGAUGAUCUAGGAGUGGCUAUGCCUAUGAUAUACUAUGGAUAUUUUUCAUACUUCUGGGCUUUGAUUUUUGCUGCAUGGAACUAGGAAGAAUUUUUGUUCUUCUCUUGUUGCUAUAUAUCAGGGGUUUAUUUUUUUCACAGUCCUCAGAAGCAUUGGGUUUUAGCUGUAACCAAGACUAGGGAUUUUGACUGGGGUAUUCCUGUGUUCUUGCUGGGAUUAAAACCUGAAGGCUCUUGGCUGGAGGGUUUUGUCCACUAGCUCAUAGUCAGACUGAUCAACAUGUUUGGAGUCAGAAAGGAAUUUUACCCUAUAGUCAAUUGGCAUGGACUGUGGGGAGUUCUGUCUUCCUCUAGUGUUUCAGGCUGUUGUCUUGAAACCAAAAACCUGGCCUGUCUAGCAUAGCUGCUCACCCCAGUCUCUCACCCCUCCAAUACAGCAUGAGGGCAGAUGCAGGUGGUCUGAAACCUCUAGUUGAGCCUAGUCACACACCCACUUCCUGCCACCGGAGUGGCCAGCUGACCAUUCACCCCUUCUAAUAUAAAACCCUGAUGUGGAAAAAGAAGUGUCCGGGCAGCAAAGUUCAAUCCUGUAUUUAGGCUUCUACAUUCUUGAUUUAUGCUGCUACUGGCUCUGUGACAGAGCCUCUGGAUAUCUGACUUGGCAUGCCCAUGCACUAUGAGUUUGGCCUGGUCCUUUGGAUACAUAAUCCAAUUCUGGUUUGAUUUUCUGGAUACUUGAUCCAGCUAUCCUCCUGACCCUGCCUAAUCCUCUGGAUCUCUGACUUGGUUCCCUAGAUGGAUCUCCUGCUUCUAGCUUCCUUACAUUCUGACUUGACAUGCUCCUCUCAAAAGUUAGAUGCAUUUUCUGACCAUAAGGUAACUCCCAGAUCUGACUGCCUACUACCCGGAAUGACACACUGGGGGGCAUGGUCCUCUUACUUAGAUCUCUCAAACCAUAGGUGCUGACUUUAUUUUUCCUGGGUGGGGGGAAAGGCUUAAGGUGAUGGACAAGUGGAAAGUUUUAUGCAUUUCAGGUGACACGCCUCUUCCCAAGGGAGGUCAGGGCUCUCAGCCCCCCAUGUUCUCCACACAUAGGCAUACUUUAAUAACCAAUCUUUGAAGCAUUAGAACACUAAGUAUUGUCCCUCUGCUUUAUCUGCAGCAGAUUAGUGUGUUAAGUCUUGUGGUUGUGUAGUUUUAGUAAAAGGUUAAACAAAGAUGUGUAUGAGAUGGUUUGGAUAGGGAUGAUCCUGCCACAGGCAGGGCGUUAAACAUGAGGCUGUAGUUGGUUCCUUAUUCCUCAUUCCUGGUUCUUUUUUCAAAGCUAAUACUUACACAAUUAAAGGUUGUUAGUAAUGAAUUGUAGAAGCUAAAGCAGCAGAAUGUCAUCAGAAAGCUAUAUUUACUAAUUAAAAUGUAAAAUAAUAUAAUGUGUCGUGUAUAUAGCCUAACAUAAUCUCAGGUCUUCUUUCAAGGUUUAUGUGGCAAAAUCCUUUUUGGGUCAUUCCAAACUACACAUCUCUGCCAUCAGGGGACACAUCUGAAUACAUCUAAGUAGGCUGCUGCCUGAUGCAAAGCUCAGUUUUCAUAUCCCUGCCUCCCCACUGAUGGCCCCAAGGCCUGUGUGCUAUAUAUAAUACCACUGAAUAAGGAACUGUGUUUGGGUUGUGAUUACAGGUGAAAAUCCUUUUUCAGUCACCCCAAAGCACAAAACUCUCACUACGGGGGUUCUCCCAAAGAAGCUUGGGCAGGCCCCUGCUUGACCCAAAGCUCAGCUUUUGCAUGUCAAGCUGCCUACAGACAACCCUCAUGCCUGAAUAAGGAGCUGGGUUUGGCCUAGGAUCACUGGUGGGAACCCUUUUUGGGUCACCCCAAAGUACAUGUCUCCACUAUUGAGAGUCUCUUGAAGAAACCUGGUCAGAGUCCUGCCCAACCCAAAACUCAGUUUCUUCAUGGCAGACUUCCAACUCACAGACCCCACACCAAAACUCCUGUCUGUCUUAGCCUUGACACUGUCAGAGCCAGAUUUUUCUAGAUGCUUAAAACUGGGGGACAUCAGCCCUAGCUCUGAUUUCCAGCUAGAAAAAAAAAUGUUGCAAUUAUAUCUAGGUAGUGAGGAGUUCAGUUUCUAAAAGCAAACUGACGGUAAUUUAGAUGCAUCUCACCUUCUAGAAAUUCAUGUAUAAUAACAUGACUCCAAGAUCUCCUGUAGCACAUGACUUGGUAUGGGGUGGCGGGAUAACUUUUUUCAUGGUCUCUGUUUCUGGCCACCUGUCUUGCUGCUUUGAUCUUUGCAAUCCUUCUUCUCAUUUUGGUGCUGAACAUUGUUCUGUGGCUCUGCUACUAAUUUCUGGCAUGAAAAGGUAAGAAUAUUUCUCUGGAAAGAUGCAAAGGAAAGCAUUGAUUCUGAGGAGGAUAUAGUCAGUGCCUUUCUGCAUGAAUAGCAAUCGUUAGAGAAAUAGGGCUUCUGGAAGGCCAAGUCAAUUUGGAGCUACAUUGCUGGUAGGCUUCAUACAAACUGAAGUUUAGAAAAUGGUUCUCUAAUCUCUGGCCUGAGGACAGGAGGGAAUUAAAAUCUAAGACAUUAAAUACAGCUUUAGUGAAAACUUGUUAUGUGUGCAAGAAGUCUGAGGAUUAAAGGUCUUAUGUGCAAUAUGGCCACUGGAAUGAAUGGUUUCACCCUACCUCCUUAGGAUCUGCAACAUCCUGAGUAGUUUUAAACAUAACACCAUGCUUUUGUCCAGCAUGUGACACUGCACUGAACAAAAGUAGUUUUGGUGAAGCACCAGAUAAGACCAAAGGGUAUUCUUUUGAUUUGGAAUAGUUUCAAAACGUCCUGUUUUCCAGAAUCUGACAUUAUACUCAGGAAAGGCAGUGACAAUUCCCUUAAAUGCAUCAGUACAUCUGCUGCAUGGUAUGGUAAUCAGAUGAAUAAUGACGCCAAGAAAGAUUAUUUCCCAAAAUGAUCCAGAUGAUUUACUGCAAUGUAAGCAAAAAGAUUUUGUUUUUAAAUCUAUGGCUACUGUGCAAAGUACACCUGUAAGAGUAGAAAUUAAUAAGCAGUCAUCAGUCAGCAGUGACUCUGAAAGCAAGAGCAGCAAUUCAGAGGAAAUUGUGACCACAACGUUAUAGAAAAUGUUACAUACAGCGGUUCCUUUCCACAAGGAAGAUACUGCUUCAUGUCCAUCAAGGUUUAAUAUUAUUUUGUGCAAGGAUGCAUGAAAGCAAAUACAUCCCUCAUCACAAUUACCACUACAGAAUUUAAUAAAUGGAGGGUGCAUUUUGUCCAAAAAAAUUAAAAAAUGCAAUCAGCUGCAUAUUUUUGUCUUUAAACAUAAUCAUAUUAAGGAACAGAAAUCUAGAAAAAUGGAUUCUCUUUUUUGUAUGGAAAAGCAAAAUGAAAACUUGAUGGGUGUAUCUCGUUGUUUAUGGGCUAAGUACAGAGGUUCAAAAAACUUGAGACAAAAUCAUAGAAUCAUAGAAGUAGGGUUGGAAGGGCUCUUGUAGAUCUUCAAGUCCGACCCCCUGCGUGGGCAGGAGGAAAACUGGGCUCAGUAGACCCCAGUCAGGUAGGCAUCAAGCCGCUUCUUAAAGACCCCCAGGGUAGGAGCCAGCACCACUUCCCUUGGAAGUUGAUUCCAGAUCCUAGCCGCCCUAACUGUGAAGUAGUUCCUACGGAUGUCUAAUUUGAACCUACUCUCCAACAACUUGUGGCCGUUAUUCCUUGUUAUCCCAGGGGGCACUAGGGGAAACAAGGUCUCCCCCAAACCCUUCUGGUCCCCCCUAGUGAGUUUAUAGAUGGUCACCAGGCCCCCCCUCAGCCUUCUCUUGUGAAGGCUGAACAGGUUCAGGUUCCAUAGCCUCUCAUUGUAGGGUCUGCCCUGCUGUCCCCGGAUUAUGCGGGUGGCCCUCCUCUGGACCCUCUCAGUGUUGUCCACAUCUCUCUUAAAGUGGGGUGCCCAGAACUGGACACAGUACUCCAGCUGUGGCCUGACCAGUGUCGUGUAGAGGGGGAGGAUCACCUUCUUGGCCCUGCUUGAGAUACACCUGUGGAUGCAUGAUAGGGUCCGGUUAGCCCUGUCGACCGCGAACUCGCAUUGUUGGCCCAUGUACAUCUUGGAGUCAAUGAUGACUCCAAGAUCCCUUUCUGCCUCCGUGCUCUCAAGAAGGGAGUUUCCCAUCUUAUAAGUGUGCUGCUGGUUACUACUGCCCAAGUGCAGCACCCUGCACUUGUCCGUAUUGAAACGCAUCCUGUUUUUGUUAGCCCACUUCUACAACCUAUCCAGGUCUUGCUGUAGUCUUUCCCUCCCUACUAAUAUCCCCACCUCACCCCAAAUUUUGGUAUCAUCAGCAAAUUUGAACAGGUUGCUUUUCAUCCCAUCGUCCAAAUUGUUGAUAAAGAAAUUGAACAGUGCGGGCCCAAGGACCAAAUCCUGGGGGACUCUGCAGCCAACUUCCCUCCAGGUCGAAUAUGACCCAUCCACCACUACCCUCUGAGUAUGACCCUUCAGCCAAUUUGCAAUCCAUCUGACUGUGUAGGCAUCGAUGCCACAGUCGCUUAGUUUUUUAAUGAGGAUGGGGUGGGAGACAGUGUCAAAGGCCUUUCUGAGGUCCAGAAAGACUAUAUCCAUGGCGACACCUGCAUCCAAAGCUUUUUUGACCUGAUUGUAAAAGGCAAUCAGGUUGGUCUGACAUGACCUACCCCUAAUGAAACCGUGCUGGUUGCCCUUGAGCAUUAUCCCCAGUGCUGGCCCAUCACAUAUGUGCUCCUUGAUGAUCUUCUCAAAGAGUUUCCCCAGGAUUGAGGUAAGACUGACAGGUCUAUAGUUGCCCAGGUCCUCCCUCCUCCCUUUUUUAAAGAUGGGGACCACAUUGGCUAUCUUCCAAUCAUCUGGCACCUGGCCUGAGCACCAUGAGUGCUCGUAAAGCCAUGCCAAGGGCCCUGCAAUAACCCCUGCUAGCUCCCUCAACACCCUGGGACGGAGAGCGUCUGGGCCUGCUGAUUUGAACAUAUCCAGCCCCUCCAGAAGCACUCUAACCCGGUCCUCCUCAACCUUAGGUCUUGAGGCGUUCCCCUCGAGUCCAUCUUGAAUCACAGUGGGGGAGUCCCAGUCCCUGCACAAGAAAACAGGUGAAGAGUUUGUUAAAGAGGUCUGCCUUCUCCUCUGGCACAACUGCCAGAUUGCCCAGUGCAUCUUGCAGGAGCUCCAUAUUUCCCGGUGCCUUCUUCCUCCUCCCUAUAUAUUUGAAAAAGAACUUUAUAUUAUCUUUGAUCUUGGACGCUAGUCCUAGCUCUAUGUUCGCCUUAUCUUUCCUAAUAGCCCCCCUACAGGCCCGAGCAGUGGAGGUAUACUCUUCUUUGGAAAUAGCCCCCCCCCCCCCUCCACUGGGUGUAUACAGCCUUUUUGGCAACCAGGCAUUCCCAGACAACCUUGGUGAGCCAAGGAGGCUUUCAGGCACUCUUGCCCACCUUGCUUCUUGUUGGGAUUGUCACCCCUUGUGCCCUGAGUAUCGUCUCCUUAAGGAACGACCACUCAUCAUAGGCACUGAGUUCUCCUGCCCUCGAGAACCCCAGCACCUCUCCCACCAAUCUCCUCAACUCUUUAAAGUUGGCCCUCUUGAAGUUUAGGGCUACCGCCUUGCUGCAGGCCCUUGACACCCUGCGCUGGAUGGUGAAUUCCAGCAAGCAAUGAUUGCUAUCACCCAGGUGGUCAAGGACGUGGAGCCCCCUUAACAGAUCAUUGCCUGUGGCCAGGACCAGGUCCAACAGGGCAUUUACUCUGGUGGGACUGUGCACCUCCUGGGUUAAGUGGAGGUCCUGUAUCUCAGCCAGGAACCUCCUGGAAUGGUCUGACCUGGCUGACUGCUCCUCCCAGCAGAUGUCCGGGUAAUUUAGAUCACCCAUGACAACUACAUCCCUUGCCUUACGUGCCUCUGCAAGCUGGCCCUAAAAUUCCCGGUCCAGCUCCUCCCCUUGGUUGGGGGGUCUGUAGUAGACCCCCACCGUUAAAUCCCUUUCCCUAUGACCCCCUUGUAUCUUGCCCCAGAGCACUUCAGCUUGCCCCUCCUCCGACCCCAUUUUGCUGGCAGAGGAUGUGUAUUGCUCUUUGACAUAGAGCGCCACACCCCCUCCCUUCCUUCCUUCUCUAUCCCGCUUGUAGAACCUAUAGCCCCUAAUGCUAACUGCUGGGAUGAAUCCCACCACGUUUCUAUAAUCUCUACUAUGUCUGGGUUAGAACUGGCUAUUCUGACGGUGAGUUCCUCCUGUUUGUUCCCCAUACUACGAGCAUUGGUAUACAGGCAUUUAAGGCCUUGCAUAGCUGCGUGUGCCACCCCCCAAUUAGGAAGACUAUCUGGACCCCUGCUUCUUACCUCAAUCUUUGCAGUUUUUAUAAGCUGCCUAGACUGAUCUGGUAAUAAACUGAACUAACAUUUAGCGUUUGGGUGGCCAAGACAGGCAGAAGCCUGCACUGGCUCAGGCCAAGAGCCUGUGGGCACUUGUGUACUUCACAUCAUGGCCCUGAACCAGCAGCUCAGACCUGAUCGGCAGCUGGGGUCUGGAGGUGGGGAGAGGUAGGAAGUACCCACUAGAGGUCAUCCCCCUACUGCUAGGUGGGCAGGGUUCACUCCAGACCCACCCCUUCCCCAGCCCUCUGCCUCUGAGAGUGGCGGGGUAAGGUGCAAGGGAGAACACACCAAACACUCAUUUGCAACUGCCCGCCCUCCCCCCACCCAGCUGGGAUCUGCUGAACCUGGGGGAGAAGCAUCUAUGGGGAGAGGUCUUCACUGAUCUCCACAGCUCAAGCCAGAGUGAGAUCAACCCAACAUCACCCCUUCCUCAGUCCUCUGUCCCUGGGGGAGGGGGUAGGAGGGACUGUAGGAACCCCACCCAGCUGACAUCUGCUUGGCACAGAGGGGGAAGCACCCAUCUGUGGGCUUUUCAUCUCCCUGCAGCUUGGAGCUGGUCUGGGGUAGUCUCAGCCCCACUCCUUCUUGAGCCAAGAGAGGUCAGGGCUGAGACUAUCCCCCUUGGCAUGGCUUUACGAGCGCUCGUGGUUCUCGGGCCACAUGUCAGUCUUAUGGUCCACUACCCCUAACCUGGUGUUUGUUCUGUAGCUGAGUAAGCCAGCUCGAGUUUCCCCAGCCCUUGUGUGUGUGUUCCCCCUCCCCGCACAUUCUCAAAGCAUAGGCCUCCUGGUUCUUUUUUUUGUGUGUGGCUGUGGCUCAGUGAGCUUCAGUUCCCUUCCUCCCUAUCCCCUUUCUGCCCCACAACCCCAGCCUACCCCUACUAGAUUCACCAGCCCCAUGGGAUAUUUUGUUUUUCUUUAUUGUCUUCCUUGCCCUCAUGUGAAACAAUGAAAGGGGUGACCCCAGGAAAGAUCAAAUGGGUGAUUCUCAUGGAAGAAGUUUCCCAAUCCCAACCAGAGUCUGGGGUUUUAGUGGAUCAAGGGGUCCAGAUGGUGCUGGAAGAGCCCUCUGAGUUCCAGGACCAGGAGGAGGAUGUCUGCAAACCAGCAGACUUCAUGGAGCCUGCAGACAUCUUGGUCCCAGCAGUCCCCAGGAAUGAGCUACUUGCAUUUCUUGACUGUGACUACACCCGCCGGUCUGCCAGCAAGGUACAGCUAGCCUUGGACCGCUGGAAGAUUGUGAUAGCAUCCUCACCACUGCAAGGGCACUGGUGGGGGAAGGCAAGGGGCCCAAAAGCUGCAACAUCCAGAUCUAUAGGGUGGGCCCGCAGUUUCAUAGAUGCCCUCUUAGCAGGGGGGAGGUUACCCCAUGGUAUUUUUGCCGGAGACCCUGAUGACUCCAGCUGAUGAACCAAACUGGUGGCUGGAAUGGGGAGGCAGGGUGUCUUUUAGUAAUCUCUCAGCCACCUCAUCUGGGGUGGCCACCCUGUUUUCCCCAGGCCUGCAGCUGGAGGUUCUCCAGGACGUUGAGGUGGUGCAAGGCUGCCUGCUGCACCUCCGGGUCCAGGUGCAGGGGCUGGCCCUGAACCUUCUGAAUGUGUAUACCCCUGCAAAGGACCCAAAGUUGGUGGAUUUCUUCCACCAGGUGGCCACAUACAUCAGCUCCCUAACCCCUAUGAGUGCCUGGUCCUUGGCGGGGACGUUAUUGUCACCCUAGAUGUGCAAGACUGGUCAGGCAAGGAAUGGGAUCAGGCUGCCAUGGGCGUCCUCAGAGAGAUCCUCAUGGACUACUCCAUUGUGGAUAUCUGGCAUGCCUGUCACCCCACUGAACCCCCUGCCUUCACUUAUGUGAGGGUGGGGGAGGAGCAGGCAUGCCACUCCCAGUUAGACCGGGUAUAUAUCUCUUUGCCACACUUUGCCCAGGCCCAUUCUCUGGCAUCCAGCUGACCCCUUUCAGCGAGCACCACUUUGUCUGGGCUCAGGCCACGCUGGGGUCUGGGUGUCUGGGGUCAGCCUACUGGCAUUUCAAUGUUGGCCUUCUAGAGGAUGGGGGAUUCAGGGAGGCUUUCUGGGAGUUCUGACUAGCCUGGUGGGUGCAACGGGCAGCUUUCCCCUUGUCUCGGAGAUGGUGGGAUGUGGGGAAGGUGCGCAUCUGGCUUUUUUGCCAUGGCUACACUUGGGGGCACACCUGGCAGAGGGAGGUGCUCCAAGAGCAGCUUGAGUGGGAAGUGUUAGAGCUGAAGAGGCAGCUGGCCACCAACCCAAACAACCCAUCCCUCUGUUGAGAGUGUUGGGAGAGGGGGGAAGAGCUUUGUGCUCUGGAUGACCACCACACCCGUGGUGCAUUUGUCUGCUCACGCGUCCAGUUCCUUCGGGAGAUGGACCACAGCUCCCGCUUCUUCUAUACCCUGGAGAGGAGGCAGGGGGCCAAGAAGUACAUCACCUUCCUUCUGGCAGGUGAUGGCACCCCCGUCACGGAUCCAGGUGAGAUGCACCAGCACACGCAGGCCUUCUAUGAAGAGCUCUUCUCCCUGGAUCUGACCCAUUCUGAGGCCUGCCAGAUCUUGUGGGAGGGACUCCUGCAGGUCAGCAUGGGUGACUGGGACCAGCUGGAAGCUCCUCUUGCUCUGGCUGAGUUUUCAGCUGCCUUCCGCCUGAUGCCUGGCAACAAGGCACCGGGCAUUGAUGGUCUGACCUCAGAGUUCUACCAGGCUUUCUGGGACAUCUUUGGCCUGGAUUUUGCUGCAGUCUGGGCUAAAUCCAAGGGAAGUAGGGAGCUACCCCUGUCAUGCUGGAGGGCCGGGCUGACCCUCCCGCUGAUGAAGGGAGAUUCCCUGUGACCUAAGGAAUUGGUGUCCAGUGUCCCUCCUCUGCACGGACUACAAAGUGGUAGUGAAGGCCAUCUUGCUGCACCUGUGGUCCAUGCUGACAGACAUGAUCCAUCCUGACCAGAUGUACACGGUACCCAGAUGUUCCAUUUUUGACAACCUGUACCUGGUUCGGGACCUCCUGGAGCUAGCACACUGGGAGAGCCUGACUUUCACCCUCCUAUCCCUGGACCAGGAGAAGGCAUUUGACAGAGUGGAUCAUGGGUACUUCACAAACAUGCUGUGGGCCUUUGGCUUUGGGCCUCACUCUGGCCUGGUGGUGGGUGAUGGGUGGCAGGUGGGCUCACUCCCACCCGUGCUCCAUGAGAUACACUGAGGCAUAGGCUUGCUGCUCUACUUGGGGGUCUACUUAUCCCCCACAGACCCCUCCCUGCCAGAGAACUGACACCAGCUGCAGGCAAGGGUGAUGGAGUGGCUCCAGGCAUGGACAGGGGUCCUGCAAUGUCUCUUCCUCCAUGGGAGAGUGCUGGUGCUGAACCAGCUGGUCCUGUCCACCCUCUGGCACUGCUUACACACCCUGCCUGUGGCCCCUGAGAUCCUAGUGGGACUCCAGAGAUGGCACUGGAGUUUUUCUGGCCAGGAUGGCGCUGGGUCACUGCAGAGGUCCUGAGCCUCCCCUUGUGGGAGAGCAGCCAGGGCCUGGUUUGCCUGCACAGCCAGGUCUUGGCAUUCUGCCUUCAAGCCCUGCAGGGACUGCUGUAUGGUGUUGGCAGCCAUGCAGCCUGGGGCCACCUGGGGCACACUUUCCUCUGCCACUUCCAGGGGCUCUGAUAUGACUGGAAGCUCCUCAGCUUGUGGAGCUUCUCCCUAUAGGACCUGUGAGGGCUUCCAGAUUUCUACCAGGACCUCCUCCAUGCCUGGAGGUUGGUCUCUGCCUGCAGGUCCCCUGCAACAGUCGCCCAGGGUGCCAACCUGCUUGUCGAGCCCCUCCUCUGGAGCACCCAGCUGGAGGUGCCAAUGGCAGGGUUGCUGCAGUUGUGACAGAGGUUGAUCCUGGCUGGUGUCACCCAUAUUGGAGACCUCCUGGACUAAAAUAGGCAGGAGUGGGUGUACCCCUCUGCACUGGCCUGGUGUAUGGGUCUACCCUUGACAUGUGCAACCUGCCGUCUGGUCCAGGAGGUGAAAUCUGCCCUACCUCCCGAUGCCCUUGCCUUUGUUGGCCAGGUCCUGUGCGAUGGCAGUCCCCACCCCUCCACGCCCUGCCUGUGUCCUCCAGCCCACCAGAAUUUUCGUGGAGCCAGUGCCUCACCCGGCUUCACAGUGCUCCCUGCUCCAACACUUGAUCCAGCUGGAGGACACCAGAUCAGUCCACUUUUUCACCAUCCAUCACCAUCACCUGUACACAUUCAUGGACCGCACUGUCCAUCAUGCCUCGUGUCCCAUCCAGACACCAAAUGGCAGGACCUGCUCAGCAAGGGUGUGGCUGGGACACCCCCAUGGCUGAGUCUGUACUCCACCCUCAUCCCACAAGCCACUGGCGACCUCAGCUGGUGGGUCCUCCAUGGUGCCAUCACCAUGGGUGUGUAUGUGGUGAGUUUCAUGGACACCCUGGUCUCCUGCCCCUUCUGCAGGCUGAGGGAGACCCUCGUGCACAUGACCCUCAAGUGUACCAGGCUGAAGCCCUUCCACCUCCACCUCCACCUCCAGAGCCUCCUCUUGAGGUUUUGGUUGAAUUUCACCCUGCACCUUUUUCUUCCAUCUGCAGCCCCACCAGGUCCUGGGACCUCCUGGUCAACCUCUUCCUGGCCAAGUGGGCCCUGUAUUUGACCAGCAAGGAUGCUCUGGCUGGGAAGGUGCCCAGAGACUGCAGGGCCACUUUUCUCUCACUUGUCCACGCAGCUCUUCCUUCGAUGCCUUUGAGGACUGGUGAGUGUGGCCCAGGAGGCUCUGCUCAGUGUCCCCCUCAGGUGCACUUAUUUUCAUGUUUUGACCCUUCAACCCACACAACAUUCCUAUCCUGGAUUUUUCAUUAGUUGUUCCAACUAUUUUGUUGUUUCAUACAUCCAUUAGCCCCAUACAUUAGGAGCUAUUAGUUAGCCGUGUGGGCCUCAGGGUCCACUAUAAUUGAGUGAUGCAAAUAAUCAGGAGCUGCUGGGGCCCAGCCAAUUGGUACCUGGGGGCACUACCCCUUGUGCCAGCUGGACUGCUGCAGCAGCAGCAGCAUCCCAAAUCCAUUUUUAAAAAUACCCCAAAAUACAUGUUCUCACACAAUUAAAGCAAAAGACCACUCUACACACACACACACACAAAUAUAUAUAUAUAUCUAUAGUGAGAGAGAGACAGCAAUCAGUUGGGCAAUGCUUUAUUGGUAUAUUUACAAUGUUAAAGCAAUUUGCCUACCAGUAUCUCUAUCAUCAUGAUAAAAUAAAUUCUAAAUACCUAUAUGUGUUGAUGUGUGGUUUUGGUUUUCUUUGCACAUGAUGGGUGUGUGAUGGGGGGACGUGGUGUUUGCAGAAAGGGGG